AGCUACACGGGACCAGACAGCUGAACAAUGGUGGAAUCAGCAUUGCAGUGACGGCCAGCCAGACUUGGAGCUCUUCUCUAACUUUCUCCUGUGAUAAAGAAAACCAUUAGCUGCUGUCAGAACCAGAAGGAGGGAGAUCAUUUUUAUUGAAAUAAGAAGGAAACGAUAGUGUCAGCCACUGAGUCCAAGAGAUAAAAAAUUACAUCUAAUAAACAUGAUUUUAUACAGUCUAAAGACCUGAAUGCAGAACGAGGGGAUUUUAGGCUUUCAGGAACACUGGGCUCAUUUUCUCUGAAGACGCAGAGUAGACGAAGAAAGAAAAAAUAGGAAAAUGAGGUUGCAUGACCUUACACCCAAUAAACAGGUGAGGCCAUUGAAGAGCACAGCAGGCAACCACUCACAGGCUCUUGUGGAGGAAGAUUACAGGGAAGAAUACAGUGUCUUGUGCUCAGUCCAGGGACAAACCGGUUGUGAAUGUAGCUUGGAAUUAAAUGGGACCACUGCUGCCACCAGGAAAGGAUGGGAUCUUCCCCGGCACUUAAGGCUGUGCGGGGCACCUAUCGACCUCUCUACGUUCUAAGGAAAAACCCACCAGGACGCUUAAUCUGCUCGAAGCCUCGCACACCUUUUUUUUUUUUUUCUUAAGAUUUAUUUUUACUUUUGACAUACAGCAAUUGGGCAGGAGAUUGAGAAAGAAAUCCAGGAUGACAUUGAAAUCAUACUUUUCAUUUCCGUGCGCUAAGGCGGGAAUUCAGUUAAUUGCAAUGUGCCGCCGUAAUGUUCUGGGCUGUGCACAUAACUGCUUAGUAUGGCGGGCAGGCAUUAUCCUGCGCACUGCUAAGGAAUAUUAUGAUUACUGGGAACCUUUUUACUGUAUAUGGUUCUUUAUAUCACCACUGCAUAGACAUAGCUGUAAUGGGUACAGGGUGUGCAGUGCACUAAUAUAAUUAUACUUACCUCUCCGGAGUCUAACGUUAGCUGGCAUUGCAGAACAGCAGAAAUCACCAGGAAAACUGAGUGGUAUGCAUGGGCAUUCACAGUAUAGUAUUCACCAGGAACAUAGCAUGGGCACCCAGAGACCUGCACUUGCGCUGACGACUCUACUAUGCUGCCAGAGAGGAGGGAGCCUGUACGGAGCAGGUACUUAGGCCCUCUUCUCUCUUAAACCGCCCCUGCCUCACUGUAUUUUGGCAUUUCCAUGAAAAUGGCCACAUAGUACUUAGAGGCAGAAAAAGAUCCUCUUGGACCUAAGAUAUAUCCCCACCUACUUUUCUCUGGUAAAUCCCCAUGUAAAACAGGUUAGCCUCAAAUGUUCACAACAGGUCAUGUUUUCAGGAUUUCUGUCUGUGGAAGCAGGUGGGAUAAUUGCUGCCUCAGCUAACCUGUGCAUGAUUACAGAAACCCAUGAAGCAUGACUUGGUGGUACGUAGGGACUGAAGCUGAGUAUUAGUGAGUGGCACUGGCAGCUGUGGCCCAAAGCCGGAUUAAGGGGGGGGGGGGUCACAGGGGGUAAGUUACCC
Pseudophryne corroboree (corroboree frog) is the source of this 1520-nucleotide long non-coding RNA. RefSeq lists it as uncharacterized. The record is from RefSeq and is a predicted model, not a curated record. Lineage: Eukaryota; Metazoa; Chordata; Amphibia; Anura; Myobatrachidae. The transcript is spliced from 5 exons.